GUGCACCAGUCGAGAAUCUUCCGCAAUGGGCGAAAGCCUGACGGAGCGACGCCGCGUGCUUGAAGAAGCCCUUCGGGGUGUAAAAGCUUUUCUACCUGAGAAACCUUCGGGUGAUGUUAGGGUAGGAAUAAGGGGAGGCUAAUCACGUGCCAGAAGCCUCGGUAAUACGUGAUCCCCAAGCGUUAUCCGGAUUUAUUGGGGCGUAAAGGGUUCGUAGGCGGUUUGUAAAGUUUUUGUUAAAGGUUGGGGCUCAACUCCAAAAAUGCAAAAAAACUACAAACUAGAGGGCGUUAGAGGCUGAUGGAA
Molecule: ribosomal RNA, 306 nt
Filed under: uncultured microorganism
Description: bacterial SSU rRNA
Rfam family: Bacterial small subunit ribosomal RNA
Source: RNAcentral